AUCCGAGACAAGCCCAAAGAGGAGACCACAGAUAAGGACGCCAGCCUUAUUUCCUUGUUUAACCUGUAUGCAAAUCAGAAUGGUGAGCUGCUUGCUGGACAACUCCAGAAACUCCUGAAUGACAGGUUCCCUCAUGGUAAGAUGAUCAUUUGUGCUUUCAGAAUAUUUAAAAUGCUACCUCAUUUUGUAAUAAAACAAGACUAAAAAGGUUUUGUCUACCAUCCAUAGGAACCUUGUAUGGCUUUGGUUUGGAUACCUGCAGGAGUAUGAUUGCUUUGGUGGAUGUAUCCUCAAAAACUGAAUUAUAUUCCUGCUCGUUUUGUUCUACCACACCCAAACUUGCCAAAGCUGACUUUCAGUAACAGUCUGAUUAGGAAUAGCAAAGUUUCGUCUGUGAUUUCCUUAAUGUACACAGCUUGAUCAAAGGAUGACAAUGUCUUUUACUGAAUUUUUGAUUCUUUGGAACAAGAUUCAAGAAUACAAGAAACUCUUCCAUCAAUCUGAUCUUAAUCAAAGUGGAUCCUUGACUGACCUCGAGCUCCAGAGAGCAGUUGAGGCUGCAGGUUUGAACGUGAAUGACAGGACGGUGAGGCUGAUGAUGUUUCGGUAUUCACGCUUCUCUGUCACCAUGUUGGAGGAUUUCAUCACUCUCAUGUUGCGACUGGAUAAGAUGUCAAACAUUUUCAAGGACAAAUCCUCUGAUGGAACAAUGCGCUUGACCUGGGAUGAGUGGAGCAACAUCUCCAUGUACAACUAG
This 757-nucleotide long non-coding RNA is filed under the name Oreochromis niloticus (Nile tilapia). RNAcentral's name for it is "lncRNA (ENSONIG00000034354.1)". Lineage: Eukaryota; Metazoa; Chordata; Actinopteri; Cichliformes; Cichlidae. The record is from RNAcentral.